AUUGCCCUAGUAACGGCGAGUGAAGCGGCAACAGCUCAAAUUUGAAAUCUGGCCUCGGCCCGAGUUGUAAUUUGCAGAGGAAGCUUUAGGCGCGGCACCUUCUGAGUCCCCUGGAACGGGGCGCCAUAGAGGGUGAGAGCCCCGUAUAGUUGGAUGCCUAGCCUGUGUAAAGCUCCUUCGACGAGUCGAGUAGUUUGGGAAUGCUGCUCAAAAUGGGAGGUAAAUUUCUUCUAAAGCUAAAUACCGGCCAGAGACCGAUAGCGCACAAGUAGAGUGAUCGAAAGAUGAAAAGCACUUUGAAAAGAGGGUUAAAUAGCACGUGAAAUUGUUGAAAGGGAAGCGCUUGUGACCAGACUUGCGCCGGGCUGAUCAUCCGGUGUUCUCACCGGUGCACUCUGCCCGGCUCAGGCCAGCAUCGGUUCUCGCGGGGGGAUAAAGGCCCAGGGAACGUAGCUCCUCCGGGAGUGUUAUAGCCCUGGGUGCAAUGCCCUCGCGGGGACCGAGGUUCGCGCAUCUGCAAGGAUGCUGGCGUAAUGGUCACCAGCGACCCGUCUUGAAACACGGACCAAGGAGUCAAGGUUUUGCGCGAGUGUUUGGGUGUAAAACCCGCACGCGUAAUGAAAGUGAACGUAGGUGAGAGCUUCGGCGCAUCAUCGACCGAUCCUGAUGUUUUCGGAUGGAUUUGAGUAGGAGCGUUAAGCCUUGGACCCGAAAGAUGGUGAACUAUGCUUGGAUAGGGUGAAGCCAGAGGAAACUCUGGUGGAGGCUCGCAGCGGUUCUGACGUGCAAAUCGAUCGUCAAAUCUGAGCAUGGGGGCGAAAGACUAAUCGAACCAUCUAGUAGCUGGUUACCGCCGAAGUU
RNAcentral lists this ribosomal RNA (861 nucleotides) under Arcopilus cupreus. RNAcentral's name for it is "LSU rRNA". It matches the Rfam family "Eukaryotic large subunit ribosomal RNA", at positions 74 to 968 of the family's 3401-position model. The record is from RNAcentral. Lineage: Eukaryota; Fungi; Ascomycota; Sordariomycetes; Sordariales; Chaetomiaceae.